UGGGUGAUUUUGUGGUAUUUUGUGUAUGUUUUUUCAAUUGUGAUUUUCGAUGAAGGAUGAGGAAGAAAGGGGGGAAGAAAUUAGGAUGGCCGACAGCACAACUCGCAAGCAAAAGAU
Molecule: long non-coding RNA, 117 nt
Organism: Populus euphratica (Euphrates poplar)
Lineage: Eukaryota; Viridiplantae; Streptophyta; Magnoliopsida; Malpighiales; Salicaceae
Exons: 3
Source: RefSeq, a predicted model, not a curated record